RNAcentral lists this long non-coding RNA (346 nucleotides) under Lathyrus oleraceus (garden pea). RNAcentral describes it as "Pisum sativum (pea) long non-coding RNA (PSAT_LNC021898)". The record is from RNAcentral. Lineage: Eukaryota; Viridiplantae; Streptophyta; Magnoliopsida; Fabales; Fabaceae.
ACUGACAUUGACCGUCAGGGUGAGCAGAUGAAAAGGUAAUGAGGGUAAGACCUCAUAGCUCUUAACCCGGGCCUGGGUGAGCUUCAAUCAAUGAAAAUGUGGGAGUCCAGAAUGGGGGACUCUACUCAAUUGACCGUCAGGGUGAGCAGAUGAAAAGGUAAUGAGGGUAAGACCUCAUAGCUCUUAACCCGGGCCUGGGUGAGCUUCAAUCAAUGAAAAUGUGGGAGUCCAGAAUGGGGGACUCUACUCCACUUGACUGACUCUAUAUACAAGAUUUCUGGUGUCUAUUCAAAAUGCAUCAGCACGUAGUGCGAGCAAGAUGAAAGACUUAACUGAAUAGCAGGGG